CUACGGAGGAUCCGAGCGUUAUCCGGAUUUAUUGGGUUUAAAGGGUGCGCAGGCGGCCAUUUAAGUCAGCGGUUAAAUCGUGGGGCUCAACCCCAUUCUGCCGUUGAUACUGGGUGGCUUGAUUGCGGUCGAGGUUGGCGGAAUUCGUUGUGUAGCAGUGAAAUGCAUAGAUAUGACGAAGAACACCGAUUGCGUAGGCAGCUGACCAGACCGCAAAUGACGCUCAUGCACGAAAGUGCGGGGAUCGAACAGGAUUAGAUACCCUGGUAGUCCGCACAGUAAACGAUGAAUACUUGUUUUCGGCGAUAUAAUGUCGGAGGCAAAGCGAAAGCGAUAAGUAUUCCACCUGGGGAGUACGCCGGCAACGGUGAAACUCAAAUGAAUUGGCGGGG
RNAcentral lists this ribosomal RNA (392 nucleotides) under uncultured bacterium. RNAcentral's name for it is "partial 16S ribosomal RNA". It matches the Rfam family "Bacterial small subunit ribosomal RNA", at positions 523 to 918 of the family's 1533-position model. The record is from RNAcentral.